Molecule: long non-coding RNA, 570 nt
Organism: Corvus hawaiiensis (hawaiian crow)
Lineage: Eukaryota; Metazoa; Chordata; Aves; Passeriformes; Corvidae
Exons: 5
Source: RefSeq, a predicted model, not a curated record
AGUGGGAUAAUAUCCAAAUCCAUUACUUGCAAAAACAUGUAGAAAACAAGAGACCUAAAAGGAGACAACUGAUUCUUUUUGCAUGGAUGAAAUCAUGAGGCUUAUGGAACCAGACAGGAGCCAGACCAGUCAUGAAUUGAGUUCAGAGGAUUCCCAAUUAAACAAAUGUCUGUAUGGAUGUGUGUCUUUGUAGGAUUAACUGCAAGGAGUCAAAUAUUACUGUAAAUCCAGGAUAUGACAAAUGGGUGCCACAUGGCAUAUGAGCAACUGCUCCAUACUCCGGAUCAAGUGUCCAGUGCUCAAGAGAUGGCCUAAUUCCAGCAAGAAGGUGAUAAUUCAGUUUCUCAUAGGAAGAUACAAGCUGUCAUGAUCCCUUGCCAAUCACAUGAGAACUGACCUAGGGAGAACAUCAACUGAAGGUUGUCUUCUAACUGGAAAAUGAAGAGUCAAAAAGUCCUGAGGGCUUUCUGCCCUUCUCACUGAAAGGAAAAUGAACAGCCUGGUCAUAGGAUGAAUGUUGUCUUGGGUCACCAUCAAGAUCCUGACCUGCCUAAAUGAUGUCACACAAGG